UGGCGGUCGGUCGCUCGUGUUUCCCCGCCGGGGAAUAUCGGGAGGAAAGUCCGGGCAACGCAGAGCAUCACAUUUCUUAACGGGAAGCUGGGGGCGACCCCAGGGUUGAAGGUGACAGAAAACAACCGCCGCUCGUUGUGGGCGGCAAGGGUGAAAAGGCGGGGUAAGAGCCCACCGGAUGCCUUGGUGACAAGGCGUGCCGCACUACCUGUGAGUUGCAAGGUCAAGUAUAUCGGCAUCUGAGGGCUGCUCGUCCAUUGCCGAGGGGUAGACUGCUAUAUCGUCAUGGCAACAUGACGGACAGAUAAAUGACCGACGGCUGCUUUUGUAUUGCUGUGCAGCCACAUAACCCGGCUUAUAGCCAUACU
Molecule: RNase P RNA, 368 nt
Filed under: human gut metagenome
Description: Bacterial RNase P class A
Rfam family: Bacterial RNase P class A
About the family: Ribonuclease P (RNase P) is a ubiquitous endoribonuclease, found in archaea, bacteria and eukarya as well as chloroplasts and mitochondria. Its best characterised activity is the generation of mature 5'-ends of tRNAs by cleaving the 5'-leader elements of precursor-tRNAs.
Source: RNAcentral